AGUCGGUCAGACGGUUGCGUAUAGAAAUAUAUGAGGAAAGUCCGAGCCCCAAAGGGCAGAAUAGCGGCUAACGGCCGCCGAGGGUGACCUUAGGGAAAGUGCAACAGAGAUAUACCGCCGUAUUUAUACGGUAAGGGUGGAAAGGCGAGGUAAGAGCUCACCGAUCUUUACGGGGACGUAGAGAUCCUGUAAACCCUAUUCGGAGCAACGCUGACUGCGGCGAUACACCUGCCCGGUGUGCCGCGAAAAGCGGCUUGAACGUCGGAGCAAUCCGCCGUCGAGAUAGAUAACCGUCCGCGACAGAACUCGGCUUACCGACCGACUCAU
This 327-nucleotide RNase P RNA is filed under the name human gut metagenome. RNAcentral's name for it is "Bacterial RNase P class A". It matches the Rfam family "Bacterial RNase P class A". From Rfam's summary of the family: Ribonuclease P (RNase P) is a ubiquitous endoribonuclease, found in archaea, bacteria and eukarya as well as chloroplasts and mitochondria. Its best characterised activity is the generation of mature 5'-ends of tRNAs by cleaving the 5'-leader elements of precursor-tRNAs. Cellular RNase Ps are ribonucleoproteins. The record is from RNAcentral.